GACGGAGGAGGCAAGCGUUGUUCGGAAUCACUGGGCUUAAAGCGCGUGUAGGCGGCUCGGCAAGUGCCUUGUGAAAGCCCUCGGCUCAACCGAGGAACGGCUAGGCAUACUGCCGGGCUUGAGGCAGGUAGGGGCGACUGGAACUCUAGGUGGAGCGGUGAAAUGCGUAGAUAUCUAGAGGAACGCCUGUGGCGAAAGCGGGUCGCUGGGCCUGUUCUGACGCUGAGACGCGAAAGCGUAGGGAGCGAACGGGAUUAGAUACCCCUGUA
Molecule: ribosomal RNA, 269 nt
Filed under: uncultured prokaryote
Description: partial 16S ribosomal RNA
Rfam family: Bacterial small subunit ribosomal RNA
Source: RNAcentral